Non-coding RNA from Triticum urartu, 1909 nucleotides. The record is from RefSeq and is a predicted model, not a curated record. Lineage: Eukaryota; Viridiplantae; Streptophyta; Magnoliopsida; Poales; Poaceae.
CCCACCCCCCGUCUGUCGAAAAAAAAACACGCGACCCGAUCCAGAUCCCCAACCUCCUCUUCUCUCCCAACCCACUCGCCGCCGGCCUCCCUUCCACCUCCUCUCCUCCGUCCGUCCGCCCCCAUGCCCCCCGCCGCCUGCGCCACGCCGGCGGCCGCGCGCCCGCCGCUCCCCGUCUCGCGCCGCUGCCCCCUGCAGCCGAGGGACGGCAACGCGGCGGCCUCCCUGUCCUUGGGCGGCGCCGUCCUUGCCAAAUCGAAGGCGAAGGCACCGGCGGCUGCCGCGUCGCCGCCGUCGGUGAGGUCGUAUGCUGCCAGGGUUGACGCGGAGAGCAGGGCGGCGGCGGUGGCGAUUGAGAAGAAGGUGUCGCUGGCAGAGGAGCUGGAGAAGGUGCGGGAGCGGCGGGGACGGGUGAUGGCGGAGCUGAUACGCCUCAUCGAGAUGCAGUAGGUCUCAAUUAUCUGUAUUCGGUGGUGAAACACUGAAACUAGAGAUACAGUGGAGUGACUUUCCUGUAGAGGGAAUUAGGGAGGUUUAUUCUGAUGAGAUUAUUUCCCAUGAUAUAUAGACACGAUGCAAAACCAAGGUAUGCUCAUGCACAUAAUUCAUACCCUAGUAAGUACAGAUAUGUAGCAAUAGUGAGGGAGUGGUGCAUGUCUUAAUUCAUUAAGCCACUGUGAAAUUACUGUUAAUUAAGAUAGUACAGCAGGCACUAGUAAUAGUGCUGCUGUUGCUGAUAUUGCCAUUGCCACAUUUCACUGCACUCGUAUACGCGCACUUUGAUUAUCUGUGCCACUUUUUUUGCCUGUCUAACGAGCACAUAUUUUAGUAAAAACUGGAGGAGCGCAGAGUUCUCGUGAUGUGCAUUAUGCCCCUUCUCAUGAUGUGCGCUACCCUCAGGGCCAGCGCAUAAUGCGAUGAGCGCCAAUGAACAGACAAACGGUAAACUGUUGGCUGCUGCCGAAGGAGCAAGCAAUGUUCAGUUCUGACAAGUGAUAAAGUGGUAUUCCGACGAGUGUUCUCACUUGUCUGAUGAUGUGCAGAUUUUGAUUGCCUUGUGAACUUGAUUAAGAUUAUCAGAUGUUAAGUCAUUCAACCAUGUGUUUGCGUGCCAUGUAAAUUUCCAUUGCCAUGGGGUUAACCUGUUUGUACAAAUUAAAGUAACUUGAUUAAGGUGUUAAAUCUGUCAAGCGGUCAGUCACAGUACUGUGCAGUCAGCCAUGUCCUGAUUUAGAGAAGUAACAUUUUUUUUGAAAUAGUAGAACAUGCAGUCCUUUUACAAAUGAAAGAGAGGCAAAGAAAGUGUUGAACAAGAACAACUAUCAGCACAACAUGUUGUGAGUUGCACAUCCUUUUUUGCAUUCAUUUUAAAAAAUGACCCCUUCUUAGUUGCUUGUCACGCUCGGCCACUGGUUGCAGGUCUAUGUUCUGGUGGAAUCGUUGAUUUCUAAGGAGGAGAGGAAGAGAAUACAGGGGACUGCGUCUUCAGAUUCUCAGUAAUGGAUAAUUACAAGAACAUUCCUCAAUUCCUCUAUGGCUUAAGCCCAUCUCAGAUGGAAAUGUUUAAAACUGACGACAACCCUUAUAAUCGGCAGUCAAAGAAAGUUACAGAGAAAUCUUGGAUUCAUAAAUGGGAGAAGCACAUAAGUGAGAAGAUGAUGAUUGCAAGGAUGGAGAGGGAGCAAAUCAUUUGGAGGGAUAGAAUACCACUGUUUGGUGUUUUUAUGCAUUUUUGUUUGCUUUCAACUGUGUUUGCACUAGCUGGGAAUAAGUGACUAGGCAAUAAGUGUAGAUGUAUGUAUAUGCUCUAAUGCUCCUGGUUUACUAUAAAUCUUCGAUUUGGAAUGAUGUGUAAUGCUGCUAGUUUAUUAUAAAUCUGGGCUUGUUUUAGUUGUUAGAAUUGUAUGCA